This 102-nucleotide Y RNA is filed under the name Microcebus murinus (gray mouse lemur). RNAcentral's name for it is "Y RNA (ENSMICG00000044456.1)". It matches the Rfam family "Y RNA". Rfam says of the family: Y RNAs are components of the Ro ribonucleoprotein particle (Ro RNP), in association with Ro60 and La proteins. The Y RNAs and Ro60 and La proteins are well conserved, but the function of the Ro RNP is not known. In humans the RNA component can be one of four small RNAs -- hY1, hY3, hY4 and hY5. Lineage: Eukaryota; Metazoa; Chordata; Mammalia; Primates; Cheirogaleidae. The record is from Rfam by way of RNAcentral.
GCCUGGUUUGAGUUUAGUGCUGUUUACAACUAAAUGAUCCCAGCCAGUUACAGAUUUCUUUGUUCCUUCUCCACUUGCACUGCUUCCCUUGACUAGCCUUAA